Molecule: ribosomal RNA, 253 nt
Filed under: uncultured bacterium
Lineage: Bacteria
Description: partial 16S ribosomal RNA
Rfam family: Bacterial small subunit ribosomal RNA
Source: RNAcentral
UACGGAGGGGACUAGCGUUGUUCGGAAUUACUGGGCGUAAAGCGCGCGUAGGCGGAUUUGCAAGUCGGGGGUGAAAGCCCGAGGCUCAACCUCGGAACUGCCCUCGAUACUGCAAAUCUCGAGUCCGAGAGAGGUGAGUGGAAUUCCUAGUGUAGAGGUGAAAUUCGUAGAUAUUAGGAAGAACACCAGUGGCGAAGGCGGCUCACUGGCUCGGUACUGACGCUGAGGUGCGAAAGCGUGGGGAGCAAACAGG